Molecule: ribosomal RNA, 2106 nt
Filed under: Triticum aestivum (bread wheat)
Lineage: Eukaryota; Viridiplantae; Streptophyta; Magnoliopsida; Poales; Poaceae
Description: partial small subunit ribosomal RNA
Source: RNAcentral
GCAGAAUACAACAAUUAACGACCUACCACUCCACCCCACCUUCACCUCCUUGCUCAACCAUGAAGAUAUGGCAGCUUGUGAUGAUCCAUCUUCUCACUCAUACCCUCCUUUUCUUCACACCCAGCUCUCAGCCCACGAACAACCAAACUAGCAACUACGGCGUCGAUCUCCCUGUGCUCCUAUCAUUCAAAUCCUUCAUAACAAGUGACCCUACACGGGCACUGUCCUCUUGGUCUUGGGACCCUGCCGGCAACGGCACGAGCACGGCGUCAUUGCCUGUCUACUGCGAGUGGGUGGGCGUAGCAUGCAGCAACCGCCGGCACCCUGGCCAUGUCACUGCCAUACGCCUGCAGGGUAUCGGCCUGGCCGGCACCAUCUGCCCGCAGCUCGGUAACCUGACUCACCUCCGUGUCCUCGAUCUUUCAGCCAACAACCUGGCAGGUGAGAUCCCAGGCAGCCUAGGUCGUUGUACAUCACUUCAUGCCUUGGAUCUGGGGGUGAACUACCUCUCUGGUUCCAUGCCUGCUUCUCUGGGUCUCCUAUCAAAGCUUACAUUUCUCAACGUCACCCAUAACAAUCUGACCGGUGAUAUUCCUAUGCCAUUCUCCAACCUCUCAGCCCUUUCAAACCUUAGUAUGUCAAGCAACCACUUCCAUGGCCAAAUCCCAAGCUGGCUGGGCAACCUGACAUCAUUGACACACUUGGAAUUAGCCCAAAACGGCUUGACUGGCCAUGUUCCUCCAGGUUUAGCAUGCUACUUUAUGAAGACAAGAACCAAAGCAAAUGACGUUGAUCAAAGAAUCAUAUUUCACAAUGAGAGAAUAUCCUAUGCUGAGAUAGAUGCAGCAACCAAUUCAUUCUCACCGGCAAAUUUGAUAGGUUCCGGAAGUUUUGGGAACGUGUACGUCGGAAAUCUUCUUCUUAAUGAGAGUUUGGCUACUGUAGCAAUCAAGGUUCUCAAUCUUGCCAGACGAGGAGCUAGUAGAAGCUUCUUGAGAGAGUGCAAUGUGCUAAGGAGGAUUCGACACCGGAAUCUUGUCAAGGUGAUCACUGUAUGCAGUGGUGUGGACCAUAAUGGUGACGAAUUCAAGGCACUUGUCCUGGAAUUUAUUUGCAACGGAAAUCUAGAUGAGUGGCUGCAUCCAAACACAACGACUAAGAGCACUAGGGCCUUUAGAAGGCUAAGUUUAAUGGAAAGGCUAUGCAUUGCUCUUGAUGUUGCAGAGGCUUUGGAGUAUCUUCACCAUCAAAUUGAGCCAUCGAUAGUUCACUGUGAUAUCAAACCAUGCAACAUCCUUCUAGAUGAUGACAUUGUCGCGCAUGUUACCGACUUUGGUCUAGCAAAGAUUAUGCGUACCGAAGAAUGCAAGCAAAGUGGUGGUGGAACUGAAAGUAGCUCAUUUGUGAUUAAAGGCACAAUUGGAUACGUCGCACCAGAGUAUGGCUCGGGAUCUGAAGCCUCCACAGAUGGUGACGUAUAUAGCUACGGUGUGUUGCUAUUGGAAAUAUUUACUGCAAGAAGGCCAACUGACAAUUUCAUAGAUGGUGUGACAAGUCUUGCCAACUAUGUCAAGAUGGCCUAUCCUGAUAAGCUACUGGAAAUAAUGGAUGUUAGGGCAACCUACAGCGGAGACAUGCAAAGUAUCACAGACAUAUUCUUAUAUCCUAUAUUUAAGCUUGGCCUAGCUUGCUGUGUGGAUUCCCCAAGACACAGAAUAAAGAUGAACGACGUAGUCAAGGAAUUGAACACCAUAAAGAAGGCAUGCACAGCUCAUAUGUCUGUCCAUGAAUUUUGAGCAACUACCUAACCCGAGUGAGCAUUGACGUGUUACGAUCAUCUCUACAGCUCUGCAUCCCUGUGGCAUUGUGUUUGUUACUUGUUAGGGGUAAUAACUAAUAAGGGUAGCACCCAAGUGUGAGGGUGAUACCCGUAUGAGGUAGUACCCAGUUAGUGUGUGUUUGGUUACGGACAGUUAUGGUAUUCCGAAUAUUCUAGGUUUGUAUUUUGUCAUGUCAUGUACUUCCUCCGUUCAUUAUUAUAAGAUGUUCUAUUUCCUAAUUUGGAUGUAUAUACACGCAUUUGUGUUUUUGUUCAGUCAUUUUCCG